Molecule: ribosomal RNA, 1197 nt
Filed under: uncultured Halomonas sp.
Lineage: Bacteria; Pseudomonadati; Pseudomonadota; Gammaproteobacteria; Oceanospirillales; Halomonadaceae
Description: bacterial SSU rRNA
Rfam family: Bacterial small subunit ribosomal RNA
Source: RNAcentral
CUACGGGAGAAAGGGGGCUCCGGCUCCCGCUAUGGGAUGAGCCUAUGUCGGAUUAGCUAGUUGGUGAGGUAACGGCUCACCAAGGCCACGAUCCGUAGCUGGUCUGAGAGGAUGAUCAGCCACAUCGGGACUGAGACACGGCCCGAACUCCUACGGGAGGCAGCAGUGGGGAAUAUUGGACAAUGGGGGAAACCCUGAUCCAGCCAUGCCGCGUGUGUGAAGAAGGCCCUCGGGUUGUAAAGCACUUUCAGCGAGGAAGAACGCCUAACGGUUAAUACCCGCUAGGAAAGACAUCACUCGCAGAAGAAGCACCGGCUAACUCCGUGCCAGCAGCCGCGGUAAUACGGAGGGUGCAAGCGUUAAUCGGAAUUACUGGGCGUAAAGCGCGCGUAGGUGGCUUGAUAAGCCGGUUGUGAAAGCCCCGGGCUCAACCUGGGAACGGCAUCCGGAACUGUCAAGCUAGAGUGCAGGUGAGGAAGGUAGAAUUCCCGGUGUAGCGGCGAAAUGCGUAGAGAUCGGGAGGAAUACCAGUGGCGAAGGCGGCCUUCUGGACUGACACUGACACUGAGGUGCGAAAGCGUGGGUAGCAAACAGGAUUAGAUACCCUGGUAGUCCACGCCGUAAACGAUGUCGACCAGCCGUUGGGUGCCUAGCGCACUUUGUGGCGAAGUUAACGCGAUAAGUCGACCGCCUGGGGAGUACGGCCGCAAGGUUAAAACUCAAAUGAAUUGACGGGGGCCCGCACAAGCGGUGGAGCAUGUGGUUUAAUUCGAUGCAACGCGAAGAACCUUACCUACUCUUGACAUCCUGCGAAUUUGGUAGAGAUACCUUAGUGCCUUCGGGAACGCAGAGACAGGUGCUGCAUGGCUGUCGUCAGCUCGUGUUGUGAAAUGUUGGGUUAAGUCCCGUAACGAGCGCAACCCUUGUCCUUAUUUGCCAGCGCGUAAUGGCGGGAACUCUAAGGAGACUGCCGGUGACAAACCGGAGGAAGGUGGGGACGACGUCAAGUCAUCAUGGCCCUUACGAGUAGGGCUACACACGUGCUACAAUGGUCGGUACAAAGGGUUGCCAACUCGUGAGAGUGAGCCAAUCCCGAAAAGCCGAUCUCAGUCCGGAUCGGAGUCUGCAACUCGACUCCGUGAAGUCGGAAUCGCUAGUAAUCGUGGAUCAGAAUGCCACGGUGAAUACGUUCCCGGG